AUACUGGUUCCAACCUGAUGAAUUAUUCCAUCCAUCUUUCCAUAUAGGUACUUCCAUGGCCCCAUAAUAGUCCCCCCAUCCUGUUGCUUCCACAGGCUGGUGGUCCCAGUCUCCCCAUCCUGUUGCUUUCACAGGCUCAUUAGAAUUUCCCCAUCCUGUUGCUUUCACAGGCUCAUUAGUAUUUCCCCAUCCCGUUGCUUCCACAGGCUCCCCACAAUCUCCCCAUCCUGUUGCUUCCACAGGCUCCUCAGAAUCUCCCCAGCCUGUUGCUUUUACAGCUCCCUUAUUCUGAGUACAACUAAG
This 303-nucleotide long non-coding RNA is filed under the name Vitis vinifera (wine grape). Its description in RNAcentral is "long non-coding RNA (VVIN_LNC002645)". Lineage: Eukaryota; Viridiplantae; Streptophyta; Magnoliopsida; Vitales; Vitaceae. The record is from RNAcentral.